Molecule: ribosomal RNA, 372 nt
Filed under: Atelopus sp. AVDM-2010
Lineage: Eukaryota; Metazoa; Chordata; Amphibia; Anura; Bufonidae
Description: partial 12S ribosomal RNA
Rfam family: Bacterial small subunit ribosomal RNA
Source: RNAcentral
UUGCCAGGGAACUACAAGCCAAGCUUAAAACCCAAAGGACUUGACGGUACCCCAUAUCCACCUAGAGGAGCCUGUCCUAUAAUCGAUAACCCACGAUCAACCUCACCAUUUUCUAGUUCAUCAGCUUGUAUACCUCCGUCGUCAGCUUACCACGUGAGCGCAACUCCAGUGAGCUUAAUGUCUUUUCACCAACACGUCAGGUCAAGGUGCAGUAUAUGUAAUGGAAAGAGAUGGGCUACACUUUCUACUCUAGAACAAACGAAAAACUAAAUAUGCAAUACUAGUUGGAAGGCGGAUUUAGAAGUAAAAAGGAAUCAGAAUAUCCAUUUUAACCAGGCACUGGGGUGUGUACACACCGCCCGGUCACCCUCA